GGUGGCUCAAUGGUAGAGUGCUUGCCUAGCAUGCGUGAGGCACUGGGUUCAAUACCCAGCACCA
Molecule: transfer RNA, 64 nt
Filed under: Marmota marmota marmota (Alpine marmot)
Lineage: Eukaryota; Metazoa; Chordata; Mammalia; Rodentia; Sciuridae
Also listed under: 1 other name
Rfam family: tRNA
About the family: Transfer RNA (tRNA) molecules are approximately 80 nucleotides in length. Their secondary structure includes four short double-helical elements and three loops (D, anti-codon, and T loops).
Source: Rfam by way of RNAcentral